This 77-nucleotide transfer RNA is filed under the name Candidatus Uhrbacteria bacterium CG_4_9_14_3_um_filter_50_9. Its description in RNAcentral is "tRNA-Pro". It matches the Rfam family "tRNA". From Rfam's summary of the family: Transfer RNA (tRNA) molecules are approximately 80 nucleotides in length. Their secondary structure includes four short double-helical elements and three loops (D, anti-codon, and T loops). Further hydrogen bonds mediate the characteristic L-shaped molecular structure. tRNAs have two regions of fundamental functional importance: the anti-codon, which is responsible for specific mRNA codon recognition, and the 3' end, to which the tRNAs corresponding amino acid is attached (by aminoacyl-tRNA synthetases). tRNAs cope with the degeneracy of the genetic code in two manners: having more than one tRNA (with a specific anti-codon) for a particular amino acid; and 'wobble' base-pairing, i.e. permitting non-standard base-pairing at the 3rd anti-codon position. Lineage: Bacteria; Candidatus Uhriibacteriota. The record is from RNAcentral.
CGGGCUGUAGCUCAGUAGGCUAGAGCGCCUGGUUUGGGACCAGGAGGCCGUGGGUUCGAGUCCCGCCAGCCCGACCA